RNAcentral lists this ribosomal RNA (1090 nucleotides) under Deltaproteobacteria bacterium. Its description in RNAcentral is "partial 23S ribosomal RNA". It matches the Rfam family "Archaeal large subunit ribosomal RNA", at positions 1056 to 2186 of the family's 2987-position model. The record is from RNAcentral. Lineage: Bacteria; Pseudomonadati; Myxococcota; Myxococcia.
GAAGGCUGGAGACGGGCGUGGGGGGUAAGCUCCCACGUCGCGAGGGGAACAACCCAGACUAGGGUUAAGGCCCCUAAAUCCCGGCUAAGUGUAGAAAUCGAAGGUCGUCUUCAACCUAAAACAGCUGGAAGGUAGGCUUAGAAGCAGCCAUCCUGUAAGCAUUGCGUAACAGCUGACCAGUCGAGGUUGGGGGCGCCGAAAAUGGACGGGGCUAAGCUGGGUGCCGAUACCCUAGGUCACAAUCUGAUAGAUUGUGGCGGUAUGCGGGCGUUGUGGCUGGGCGGAAGCNNNNNNNNNAGUGCAGAUCCCGGUGGUAGUAACAGCAAAGAAGGGUGAGAAUCCCUUCCGCCGUAGGGGCAAGGGUUCCCCGGCAACGGUCGUCAGCCGGGGGUAAGUCGAUCCUAAGGUGACCCUUAACCGGUGUCGCCGAAAGGGAAAUAGGUUAAUAUUCCCAUACCACGGAGGUACAUUUCGCGGUAACGCAAGGUCCGAGGCCUGACGCUUUUGGAUAGAUUGAGUGGAGUCGUCGCUCCAUCUAACCAUCGAAAUCCGGGGAGUACCGUAAUGGUGAGAACCGGAUGAAGAUGGGAAUGGCCUCCCGUAUUAAGGGGGGUUCAGUCGAUUCCGGGAGCCAAUGAAAAAGGCUGCGGAAAGGAUCCUUCGUGUCCGUACCCAGAACUGACACAGGUGCCCCUAGGUGAGAAGCCUAAGGCGUGUCGGGGGGAACCCAGGCGAGGGAACUCGGCAAAUUAGCCCUCUAACUUUGGGAUAAGGGGUGCCUGAAACUUUAACCUCAGGUUGGGGUUUCAGGUCGCAGUGACAAGGGGGGCGCGACUGUUUAAUAAAAACACAGGAGGCCGCUAGCCCGAAAGGGUGUGUACGGCCUUUGAAUCCUGGCCAGUGGCGGUACCUUAAACCUAGGNNCUCUCUUAAGGUAGCCAAAUGCCUUGUCGGGUAAGUUCCGACGUGCAUGAAUGGAUUAACGACGUCCCCGCUGUCCCCGCCUGGGGCCCGGUGAACCCACAUAACUUAGACGAACAGUCUAGGAUCUCCCAGCGGGGCGAGAAGUCCCCGUGGAGCUUUACUGCAG